CCUUUUGGAGUAUCCAUGGCUGAAUACAUAGGCCAUGCGAAGCGAACGCGGUGAACUGAAACAUCUAAGUAACCGCAGGAAAAGAAAUCAACCGAGAUUCCCAAAGUAGUGGCGAGCGAAAUGGGAUGAGCCUUGCACUCUUUAUUUGUAUUGUUAGCCGAACGCUCUGGAAAGUGCGGCCAUAGCAGGUGAUAGCCCUGUAGGCGAAAACAGUAUGAAAGAACUAGGUGUGCGACAAGUAGGGCGGGACACGUGAAAUCCUGUCUGAAGAUGGGGGGACCAUCCUCCAAGGCUAAAUACUCGUGAUCGACCGAUAGUGAACCAGUACCGUGAGGGAAAGGCGAAAAGAACCCCGGGAGGGGAGUGAAAUAGAUCCUGAAACCGCAUGCAUACAA
RNAcentral lists this ribosomal RNA (395 nucleotides) under Burkholderia cenocepacia. RNAcentral's name for it is "partial 23S ribosomal RNA". It matches the Rfam family "Bacterial large subunit ribosomal RNA", at positions 139 to 569 of the family's 2925-position model. Lineage: Bacteria; Pseudomonadati; Pseudomonadota; Betaproteobacteria; Burkholderiales; Burkholderiaceae. The record is from RNAcentral.